This 468-nucleotide ribosomal RNA is filed under the name uncultured bacterium. RNAcentral describes it as "bacterial SSU rRNA". It matches the Rfam family "Bacterial small subunit ribosomal RNA", at positions 335 to 795 of the family's 1533-position model. The record is from RNAcentral.
ACUCCUACGGGAGGCAGCAGUGGGGAAUUUUGGACAAUGGGGGCAACCCUGAUCCAGCCAUGCCGCGUGAGUGAAGAAGGCCUUCGGGUUGUAAAGCUCUUUCGGCCGGGAAGAAAUCGUGUUCUCUAACAUAGGACAUGGAUGACGGUACCGGACUAAGAAGCACCGGCUAACUACGUGCCAGCAGCCGCGGUAAUACGUAGGGUGCGAGCGUUAAUCGGAAUUACCGGGCGUAAAGCGAGCGCAGGCGGUUUUGUAAGACAGAUGUGAAAUCCCCGGGCUUAACCUGGGAACUGCGUUUGUGACUGCAAGGCUAGAGUACGGCAGAGGGGGGUGGAAUUCCUGGUGUAGCAGUGAAAUGCGUAGAUAUCAGGAGGAACACCGAUGGCGAAGGCAGCCCCCUGGGCCUGUACUGACGCUCAUGCACGAAAGCGUGGGGAGCAAACAGGAUUAGAUACCCUGGUAGUC